AGCUCCAAUAGCGUAUAUUAAAGUUGUUGCAGUUAAAAAGCUCGUAGUUGGAUCUCGGUUUCGGGCUGGUGGUCCAUCCCCCGAUGGUUACUGCCUGCGUCCCGAACCAAAUCCCGGCUCGUCAGCGGUGCUUUUUAUCGAGUGUCGUUUGGUGGCCGGAACUUUUACCUUGAUAAAAUCUGAGUGUUCAAAGCAGGCGUCUUAGCCUGAAAGUUUGUGCAUGGUAUAAUAGAAUAGGACUCUGGUUCUAUUUUGUUGGUUUUAGGAACUUUGAGUAAUGAUUAAGAGGGACGGACGAGGGCAUUCGUAUUACGGUGUUAGAGGUGAAAUUCUUGGAUCGCCGUAAGACGAACAACCGCGAAAGCAUUUGCCAAGAAUGUUUCCA
This 385-nucleotide ribosomal RNA is filed under the name uncultured eukaryote. RNAcentral describes it as "SSU rRNA". It matches the Rfam family "Eukaryotic small subunit ribosomal RNA", at positions 587 to 972 of the family's 1831-position model. The record is from RNAcentral.